UUUCCUACGGGAGGCAGCAGUGGGGAAUCUUGCACAAUGGGGGAAACCCUGAUGCAGCGACGCCGUGAGCGAUGAAGCCCUUCGGGGUGUAAAGCUCUUUCGGCAGGGAAGAUGAUGACGGUACCUGCAGAAGCAGCUGCGGCUAACUACGUGCCAGCAGCCGCGGUAAUACGUAGGCAGCAAGCGUUGUUCGGAGUUACUGGGCGUAAAGGGUGUGUAGGCGGUUGUUUAAGUUUGGUGUGAAAUCUCCCGGCUCAACUGGGAGGGUGCGCCGAAUACUGAAUGACUAGAGUGCGGGAGAGGUGAGUGGAAUUCCUGGUGUAGCGGUGAAAUGCGUAGAUAUCAGGAGGAACACCGGUGGUGUAGACGGCUCACUGGACCGUAACUGACGCUGAGACACGAAAGCGUGGGUAGCAAACAGGAUUAGAUACCCUGGUAGUCCACGCCCUAAACGAUGCAUAUUUGGUGUGGGCAGUUCAUUCUGUCCGUGCCGGAGCUAACGCGUUAAAUAUGCCGCCUGGGGAGUACAGUCGCAAGGCUGAAACUCAAAGGAAUUGACGGGGGCCCGCACAAGCGGUGGAGCAUGUGGUUCAAUUCGACGCAACGCGAAGAACCUUACCUGGGCUCGAACGGCUGGUCAAGGCGGUGGAAACAUCGCUACCCCGCAAGGGGGUCCAGUCGAGGUGCUGCAUGGCUGUCGUCAGCUCGUGUCGUGAGAUGUUGGGUUAAGUCCCGCAACGAGCGCAACCCUUGUCCUGUGUUGCCAUGCCCGAAAGGGCGGAACUCGCAGGAGACCGCCAGGGAUAACCUGGAGGAAGGUGGGGAUGACGUCAAGUCCUCAUGGCCUUUAUGUCCAGGGCUACACACGUGCUACAAUGGACGGUACAAAGCGCAGCAAACCCGCGAGGGGGAGCCAAUCGCAAAAAACCGUUCUCAGUUCGGAUUGCAGGCUGCAACUCGCCUGCAUGAAGCUGGAAUCGCUAGUAAUGGCAGAUCAGCACGCUGCCGUGAAUACGUUCCCGGGCCUUGU
RNAcentral lists this ribosomal RNA (1030 nucleotides) under uncultured bacterium. RNAcentral describes it as "bacterial SSU rRNA". It matches the Rfam family "Bacterial small subunit ribosomal RNA", at positions 335 to 1384 of the family's 1533-position model. The record is from RNAcentral.